Molecule: long non-coding RNA, 828 nt
Organism: Falco peregrinus (peregrine falcon)
Lineage: Eukaryota; Metazoa; Chordata; Aves; Falconiformes; Falconidae
Exons: 2
Source: RefSeq, a predicted model, not a curated record
GGGGCCCUGCCCCGGGCACCCGCUGCGCCUCUGGCCAGUGGCCCGUCCCGCCGUGCGCUCUAGGGGCCGUGCCGCGGAGCGCCGCCAGCGGGGCCCGGCCGGCUGCCGCCCAGCCCCGCCGGUUGACGAGCUGCCUGUGCGCACAGGAGCGGCGGUGGGAAGGCAGCAGCGUGGCCCGCGGCCUCUGUGCUGCGCCCUCGCGGGGAGGCCUCGGCGCUGAGCUGUCGGGAGUGACUGCAGCGAAACCAGCACGCGUGAAAAACAGGCGGGUUUCCAGGGGUUAAAAGUAGCAAUCAAGGAAAAGGAAGGCGGAAUGUAACCGUUAUUCCAGUUCUGACAAUAGAAAGAUGGAUAGAUCUACUUCCUCAUCAACUUCAUCUGCCUGCCGAUUCUCAAGGCACUAAAAAUUCAUUAAAUUUGAAUUAGACAACAUCUAGAGAAUAUUUAGCUGUUUGUUCCGAACAACUACAACGUGGACUGACUGGAUCCGUGGGAAGGACAGCUAUCUCCCCACUUACUUCAGCAAAUGGGAUUUUUUCAGGAACGGUGAGCACGGGAUAGAGCAUCUAGGCAAAUCUCAGUGGAAGGGCAGAAGUUAAUGAGAAACCUUGCCUACCGCCAGUUGCCUCCACAGCCCGCCUGUUGCCUGUUUCAAUUAACAGCUCGCCUUCCUGCUUUUAGCCAGUUCUUUUAAGGCCACUCAGUACUACAGGCAUUGUUGCUGAACGUCAUGCUGCUGCUUCAUACCGCAGGAGUGUGGUAACUUCACUUGAUUUCCCUUAUUCCUGGAAAAAAAAUAAAAAUAAAGCCAAUCGAUUUCAAACGAAA